GGGUGGUAAUGCCGGAUGCUCCAUCACAUCGCAUGGUGUCUGGGAAAGCCUUUGCGGCAUGGGAUGGGGUCGCGUCCUAUCAGCUUGAUGGCGGGGUAACGGCCCACCAUGGCUUCGACGGGUAGCCGGCCUGAGAGGGCGACCGGCCACAUUGGGACUGAGAUACGGCCCAGACUCCUACGGGAGGCAGCAGUGGGGAAUAUUGCACAAUGGGCGCAAGCCUGAUGCAGCGACGCCGCGUGAGGGAUGGAGGCCUUCGGGUUGUAAACCUCUUUUGUUAGGGAGCAAGGCAUUUUGUGUUGAGUGUACCUUUCGAAUAAGCACCGGCUAACUACGUGCCAGCAGCCGCGGUAAUACGUAGGGUGCAAGCGUUAUCCGGAAUUAUUGGGCGUAAAGGGCUCGUAGGCGGUUCGUCGCGUCCGGUGUGAAAGUCCAUCGCUUAACGGUGGAUCCGCGCCGGGUACGGGCGGGCUUGAGUGCGGUAGGGGAGACUGGAAUUCCCGGUGUAACGGUGGAAUGUGUAGAUAU
RNAcentral lists this ribosomal RNA (528 nucleotides) under Bifidobacterium breve. Its description in RNAcentral is "bacterial SSU rRNA". It matches the Rfam family "Bacterial small subunit ribosomal RNA", at positions 158 to 697 of the family's 1533-position model. Lineage: Bacteria; Bacillati; Actinomycetota; Actinomycetes; Bifidobacteriales; Bifidobacteriaceae. The record is from RNAcentral.